UUUGAUUGAGUUUUUUUUUUCUUCUUCUUUUAGAUUACCGAUUCAAUUUAGAAAAUAGAAUUCGAACAGGAUACAUCACAAUUUCAUCUGCUAUAAUCCAAAGUGUGGUCACAUGUCAAUGUUUGUCUUAUUUUGUCAUUCGUUCAAUAUGUUUGCUUUCAAGCAAUAUGUUGUACAAAGAAUCACUCCCUCGGAAAGAAGGGAAUAAAGCGUGUUGAUUGUCGUUUUCUUCCCCUCUUGCAAAAAAGAAUCCUAUGACAAGAUAACACGAUGUUUGAAUAGAUUAUAACAUGAACAAAAGGUCGACGCUUUGAACGAUCUUGCCCAAUUUCCCUCCAACAAAUGUGAUCUUCUUUGUAGGACCACCUCCUGCAGUGGAUAUCCUUCUUGUGUCGGUUUUGAAUGUUCAUGUGGGACCACCAUCUACAAUGGCCCUCCUUCUUCUGCCAAUUCGAUUAUCACGGUGGCUAAUUCAUCAUCUUGUCCACAUGAAUACGAGGAUGCAUCAUUGCUAGAAGGCAUACUUUUGAGUGAGUUUAAGCAUUAGGGACUCAUUCCUUCUAUUUUUAGUUUUGUUGAAUUUUCGAUAGUCAUACUUGUGACUAUCGUUUUGGUUAAUCU
RNAcentral lists this long non-coding RNA (621 nucleotides) under Medicago truncatula (barrel medic). RNAcentral's name for it is "long non-coding RNA (MTRU_LNC002711)". Lineage: Eukaryota; Viridiplantae; Streptophyta; Magnoliopsida; Fabales; Fabaceae. The record is from RNAcentral.